CGGAUGUGCAGCCCUCCUGGAGGUGGCUCGCCAGAUGACGUCACUGUGAUCCAAGCUGAAACACACAGUCAAAUUUGUACUAUUCGACCACGAGGAGUAUGAGUUUUCCAAAUACACUCCUAAUCAAGAAUUUGGUUUACUGGGUAGUAAAUAUCUGAUAUCACACUGGCUGUUGCCAUGGAUUCAGUAGAACUACCCACAAACCGUGGGGUCAUUCAAUCCUUCUGGAAUCAUCGUCCUUGACACGGCGAUGGACAAUAACGCCAGCGCAUCGUCCCAGAUCAUACCACCUGAUGGUCUUGACAUGAUCUGAUUCGCCGAUGAUGAUUCGCCCAUUUCUGGAGGGCAUGACGAUGUCGGAACUACACGCCGUCAAGACCGGAGGAUUUGCUACAAUCUCCAAAGUCCAAAGUUGUUUCCUUACUGCAUGUAUUUAAAUAGAUACCAGCAAAUCAUUUGUUAUCGACCAUUAUGAUGAGCGCUUUGUCAGACCUCGCCAUCUCCAAGCUGUCAUAUCCGGAGGUGGAGGAAACAAAUGCGCCAAAAGAAAUCUUUAACAAACUGCACAUGUUGCGAAAACAUAUCAUCUUACGGUUGAUCUUCCACCGGUAGUUACGUUUGAGGUGUUAUGAACGUAGUACAAUUAUAUGUUUGUAUCAUAUGAAUCUGGAAAUGUUGCAAUAGUUUUGCGAUAAAAAACGUCAUCUACAAAAAAAUUAUAGUAUAAUCAUCUACAAAUAAGUAACAGAAUCAUUAAGUAAUAAAUGAAAGCUUUUUCAAACACCUACAUAUACCUGUUAGCGUAAUAUUCCUUGAACGAAAACUAAGGUAUGAAGUUAAAUAAUUUUACAUGCAAAAUAUUUUACAUUUUUACUUAAAAAAAUUAAGGACGCAUAUAUACGAAUGCCGACACACAGUCAUUUUAAUGAAUCCGAUUCAAAUCACCAGGACGGAAGAGUCAUUCCCAGUUAUCUGGUUCAAUAAUUAUGCGAUACGAGUGCACAACAUUUUUUUCCAACUGUUUCUAAACGUGCUUUGUAUUAUGAUCAUUACGUUGCCAGAAAAACAGGUUUUGUCAACCUGUUUUCUCAACAUAUGUUUUGCCUGGUACCGGACAGGAAUAUUAGUGUCGGUGUUUCGAGCAUAUCACGAGGCUGUUAUAUGUGAAUUGCGUGUAGAGAUAAAUGACUAUUGUUAUACACAAACAUUUAUUAAACGCUAAAACAUCUUACUAUAACUUAUAUUGCUCUAAGUGGUUUAAUUUGCAAUAUGUUAUAUGUCACUAUAAUUAUAUGUAAAUUUUUCUGAUUUUUUUAAAUAAUUUUUUCUCAGAUGACCGAUUACAAUUAAAAAUACACAUACAGUCUUCUAAACAACCACACCGGUCGUCAAAACGAGCAGAGAUAAUGUUUACCAGAAUACGCAACAACAAUUUAAAGUGUAAAUUAUAUAACCGGCUUUACUUCACUAAAGUGACAGGUCUUUUUGGUUAUUCCAAUGGCAGACAUCUGGAUACAAUAUACAAUCUGAGCUUAGACAACCUUACAUUGUUUUUCACUAUCUUUUGAGUUGUUGCAAUUUGAAAUGGACAUGACAAAAAGUAAAGUAUGAUGCGCGUUACUGAAUGCACAUCACGUCCUAUCUAUUAAUAGUUGCUACUCAUAUCAAUGUGAUGGUAUUGUUAAAGUCCUUAAGCAUGAACCAGUGCCAACCAAUAAAUUCGUCUUGUCUUUUGCAUAUUAUUUUAUGGUUUUAAAAUUAAUUAAGUUAUAAAAAAUAUAGAUUUUAGUUAAUAUUUAGUCCUGUUCAAAACAUUGCCAAUGCUAACUCACUAUUCAUUAAAAUGCAGUUUGAUUAUUAUGGUAAAAUAGAGAUGUAUGACAUAUUCCAAUAAUAUUAUAGUGAAUCGCAUUGCAUCCACAAUGAUUGAA
Long non-coding RNA from Dreissena polymorpha, 1931 nucleotides. RefSeq lists it as uncharacterized. The transcript has 3 exons. Lineage: Eukaryota; Metazoa; Mollusca; Bivalvia; Myida; Dreissenidae. The record is from RefSeq and is a predicted model, not a curated record.